This 73-nucleotide transfer RNA is filed under the name Ailuropoda melanoleuca (giant panda). It matches the Rfam family "tRNA". From Rfam's summary of the family: Transfer RNA (tRNA) molecules are approximately 80 nucleotides in length. The record is from Rfam by way of RNAcentral. Lineage: Eukaryota; Metazoa; Chordata; Mammalia; Carnivora; Ursidae.
ACCUCACUGGCUCAGUGAGUAGAGCAUGUGACUCUUGAUCUUGGAGUUGUGAGUUUGAACCCUAUGUUGGGUG